This 496-nucleotide ribosomal RNA is filed under the name uncultured bacterium. Its description in RNAcentral is "partial 16S ribosomal RNA". It matches the Rfam family "Bacterial small subunit ribosomal RNA", at positions 29 to 507 of the family's 1533-position model. The record is from RNAcentral.
AUGCACGCUGGCGGCGUGCCUAAUCCCUGCCAGUCGAGCGCACAGACGAGGAGCUUGCUCCUCUGACGUUAGCGGCGGACGGGUGAGUAACACGUGGAUAACCUACCUAUAAGACUGGGAUAACUUCGGGAAACCGGAGCUAAUACCGGAUAAUAUAUUGAACCGCAUGGUUCAAUAGUGAAAGACGGUUUUGCUGUCACUUAUAGAUGGAUCCGCGCCGCAUUAGCUAGUUGGUAAGGUAACGGCUUACCAAGGCAACGAUGCGUAGCCGACCUGAGAGGGUGAUCGGCCACACUGGAACUGAGACACGGUCCAGACUCCUACGGGAGGCAGCAGUAGGGAAUCUUCCGCAAUGGGCGAAAGCCUGACGGAGCAACGCCGCGUGAGUGAUGAAGGUCUUCGGAUCGUAAAACUCUGUUAUUAGGGAAGAACAAAUGUGUAAGUAACUAUGCACGUCUUGACGGUACCUAAUCAGAAAGCCACGGCUAACUACGUG